RNAcentral lists this ribosomal RNA (253 nucleotides) under uncultured bacterium. Its description in RNAcentral is "partial 16S ribosomal RNA". It matches the Rfam family "Bacterial small subunit ribosomal RNA", at positions 524 to 776 of the family's 1533-position model. The record is from RNAcentral.
UACGUAGGGGGCAAGCGUUAUCCGGAUUUACUGGGUGUAAAGGGAGCGCAGACGGCCAAGCAAGUCUGAAGUGAAAUGCAUGGGCUCAACCCAUGAAUUGCUUUGGAAACUGUUUGGCUUGAGUGUCGGAGGGGUAAGCGGAAUUCCCAGUGUAGCGGUGAAAUGCGUAGAUAUUGGGAGGAACACCGGCGGCGAAGGCGGCUUACUGGACGACAACUGACGUUGAGGCUCGAAGGCGUGGGUAGCAAACAGG